RNAcentral lists this ribosomal RNA (489 nucleotides) under uncultured bacterium. RNAcentral's name for it is "partial 16S ribosomal RNA". It matches the Rfam family "Bacterial small subunit ribosomal RNA", at positions 28 to 507 of the family's 1533-position model. The record is from RNAcentral.
GAUGAACGCUAGCUACAGGCUUAACACAUGCCAGUCGAGGGGCAGCAUGAUUGAAGCUUGCUUCAAUCGAUGGCGACCGGCGCACGGGUGAGUAACACGUAUCCAACCUGCCGAUAACUCGGGGAUAGCCUUUCGAAAGAAAGAUUAAUACCCGAUAGUAUAGUAUUUCCGCAUGGUUUCACUAUUAAAGAACUUCGGUUAUCGAUGGGGAUGCGUUCCAUUAGAUAGUUGGCGGGGUAACGGCCCACCAAGUCAACGAUGGAUAGGGGUUCUGAGAGGAAGGUCCCCCACAUUGGAACUGAGACACGGUCCAAACUCCUACGGGAGGCAGCAGUGAGGAAUAUUGGUCAAUGGACGAGAGUCUGAACCAGCCAAGUAGCGUGAAGGAGGACUGCCCUAUGGGUUGUAAACUUCUUUUAUACGGGAAUAAAGUGGAGUAGGCAUACUCCUUUGUAUGUACCGUAUGAAUAAGGAUCGGCUAACUCCGUG